AGACAAGACAAGACAACACCAUAGGCAAAGCCAGGGACAUGUACACCAAACGUUAUCCUCGGACAAGUCGGGGCGUUUACGUGUGUCAGGACAGGUGCCGCCCACCCAUGAUGCAUCACCCGCGACCGUUAGUGACGUCAUCAACCCCAGCCACCUACCUCCAACCUCCAUUUACGAUCCAUCAGUCGUGACCUUCUGGUACGAAGUACAGGGACCAAUGACCCAGAUAGGGAGGCAAUCGAUUCAAAAUUCUGAGAGCGUUGGAGCUUUCGAGAAUCUCGAUUUUUAAGCCCUUGAAAAUUUACCAUCACACCAGAA
Branchiostoma floridae (Florida lancelet) is the source of this 318-nucleotide long non-coding RNA. RefSeq lists it as uncharacterized. NCBI's taxonomy places the organism in Eukaryota, Metazoa, Chordata, Leptocardii, Amphioxiformes, Branchiostomatidae. The transcript is spliced from 2 exons. The record is from RefSeq and is a predicted model, not a curated record.